Molecule: unclassified non-coding RNA, 348 nt
Filed under: soil metagenome
Description: partial contains 5.8S ribosomal RNA, internal transcribed spacer 2, and large subunit ribosomal RNA
Rfam family: 5.8S ribosomal RNA (bases 1-120)
Source: RNAcentral
GAUGAAGAACGGAGCGAAAUGCGAAAAGUAAUGUGAAUUGCAGAAUUCAGUGAACCAUCGAAUCUUUGAACGCACAUUGCGCCCGCUGGAACUCCGGCGGGCACGCCUGUCCGAGCGUCAUUUCAACCCUCAGGCCCCCCUUCGCGGGCGGGCCUGGUGUUGGGGCCCGGCCGCUACCCUGCGGCCGUCCCCUAAAUUCAGUGGCGGCCUCGCCGUGAUCCCUUGCGUAGUAAUGCACCUCGCACCGGAGAGCGCCGUGGCCACGCCGUAAAACCCCCAAUUUUCAAUGGUUGACCUCGGAUCAGGUGGGAAUACCCGCUGAACUUAAGCAUAUCAAUAAGCGGAGGA